This is a non-coding RNA of Paramuricea clavata, 432 nucleotides long. The record is from the annotation of a GenBank genome assembly. Lineage: Eukaryota; Metazoa; Cnidaria; Anthozoa; Malacalcyonacea; Plexauridae.
AAUUCAAAUUAUCACUUUUAUCAAUUUUAUCAGUUUUUUGAAAUAUCUAAUGCUAGUUUUCAAGUCAGUGUCGUACAUGUAUAUACUAAAAUACCUGAUUUGGUGGUGGUCCAGGGGGUGGGGCAUCAGUGGCUUUUGGGCAAUUAUUAGGUGGUGUAGUGGGGAAGGUGGUAGGUUUCUCAGUAGCAUUUGGUUUCGGAGAGAUGGUUGUUGAUUCCUCAGGACCUGUGGUGGCUAUGAUUUUGCUCGUAUUGCUCUCCGAAUCUGAGUCGGAUUCUUCUUUUGCAUAUAGGACUGCAAGAACUACCACGGCGAUGAGGAGAAGUAUUAUAAGGACGACGGCUAGAACUAGAGCUUUCUUACUGCUCUUUGAUCUGUAACCACUGAAGAAAAUUGAUCUUGUCUUAGCUACUUUUGGGGAUUUGAUGGAAG